CCUACGGGAGGCAGCAGUGAGGAAUAUUGGUCAAUGGACGAGAGUCUGAACCAGCCAAGUAGCGUGAAGGAUGACUGCCCUAUGGGUUGUAAACUUCUUUUAUAUGGGAAUAAAAUGUUCCACGUGUGGGAUUUUGUAUGUACCAUAUGAAUAAGGAUCGGCUAACUCCGUGCCAGCAGCCGCGGUAAUACGGAGGGUCCGAGCGUUAUCCGGAUUUAUUGGGUUUAAAGGGAGCGUAGGUGGAUUGUUAAGUCAGUUGUGAAAGUUUGCGGCUCAACCGUGAAAUUGCAGUUGAAACUGGCAGUCUUGAGUACAGUAGAGGUGGGCGGAAUUCGUGGUGUAGCGGUGAAAUGCUUAGAUAUCACGAAGAACUCCGAUUGCGAAGGCAGUUCACUGGACUGCAACUGACACUGAGGCUCGAAAGUGUGGGUAUCAAACAGGAUUAGAUACCCGAGUAGUC
Molecule: ribosomal RNA, 460 nt
Filed under: uncultured bacterium
Lineage: Bacteria
Description: partial 16S ribosomal RNA
Rfam family: Bacterial small subunit ribosomal RNA
Source: RNAcentral